This is a non-coding RNA of Balaenoptera acutorostrata (minke whale), 74 nucleotides long. The record is from the annotation of a RefSeq genome assembly. Lineage: Eukaryota; Metazoa; Chordata; Mammalia; Artiodactyla; Balaenopteridae.
UCCCUGGUGGUCCAGUGGUUAGGACUCUGCACUUCUACUGCAGGGGGCACGGGUUCAGAUCCCUGGUCGGGGAA